This 3028-nucleotide ribosomal RNA is filed under the name Salmonella enterica subsp. enterica serovar Schwarzengrund. RNAcentral's name for it is "23S ribosomal RNA". It matches the Rfam family "Bacterial large subunit ribosomal RNA". The record is from RNAcentral. Lineage: Bacteria; Pseudomonadati; Pseudomonadota; Gammaproteobacteria; Enterobacterales; Enterobacteriaceae.
GGGUUGUGAGGUUAAGCGACUAAGCGUACACGGUGGAUGCCCUGGCAGUCAGAGGCGAUGAAGGGCGUGCUAAUCUGCGAUAAGCGCCGGUAAGGUGAUAUGAACCGUUAUAACCGGCGAUACCCGAAUGGGGAAACCCAGUGUGACUCGUCACACUAUCAUUAACUGAAUCCAUAGGUUAAUGAGGCGAACCGGGGGAACUGAAACAUCUAAGUACCCCGAGGAAAAGAAAUCAACCGAGAUUCCCCCAGUAGCGGCGAGCGAACGGGGAGGAGCCCAGAGCCUGAAUCAGCAUAUGUGUUAGUGGAAGCGUCUGGAAAGGCGCGCGAUACAGGGUGACAGCCCCGUACACAAAAGCGCAUGUGCUGUGAGCUCGAUGAGUAGGGCGGGACACGUGGUAUCCUGUCUGAAUAUGGGGGGACCAUCCUCCAAGGCUAAAUACUCCUGACUGACCGAUAGUGAACCAGUACCGUGAGGGAAAGGCGAAAAGAACCCCGGCGAGGGGAGUGAAAAAGAACCUGAAACCGUGUACGUACAAGCAGUGGGAGCCCCACCACUAAGCCAGUGGUGAACUCCACAUACGCAUCCUUUGCUGAGGAUGCGGUUAACGGAGCGAAAGCGACGUUCAACCGCAAAAGAAGCAGAGGGGGCUUAGUGGUGGGGUGACUGCGUACCUUUUGUAUAAUGGGUCAGCGACUUAUAUUCUGUAGCAAGGUUAACCGAAUAGGGGAGCCGGAGGGAAACCGAGUCUUAAUUGGGCGUUAAGUUGCAGGGUAUAGACCCGAAACCCGGUGAUCUAGCCAUGGGCAGGUUGAAGGUUGGGUAACACUAACUGGAGGACCGAACCGACUAAUGUUGAAAAAUUAGCGGAUGACCUGUGGCUGGGGGUGAAAGGCCAAUCAAACCGGGAGAUAGCUGGUUCUCCCCGAAAGCUAUUUAGGUAGCGCCUCGUGAAUUCAUCUCCGGGGGUAGAGCACUGUUUCGGCUAGGGGGCCAUCCCGGCUUACCAACCCGAUGCAAACUGCGAAUACCGGAGAAUGUUAUCACGGGAGACACACGGCGGGUGCUAACGUCCGUCGUGAAGAGGGAAACAACCCAGACCGCCAGCUAAGGUCCCAAAGUCAUGGUUAAGUGGGAAACGAUGUGGGAAGGCCCAGACAGCCAGGAUGUUGGCUUAGAAGCAGCCAUCAUUUAAAGAAAGCGUAAUAGCUCACUGGUCGAGUCGGCCUGCGCGGAAGAUGUAACGGGGCUAAACCAUGCACCGAAGCUGCGGCAGCGACGCUGAUGCGUUGUUGGGUAGGGGAGCGUUCUGUAAGCCUGCGAAGGUGGCCUGUGAGGGUUGCUGGAGGUAUCAGAAGUGCGAAUGCUGACAUAAGUAACGAUAAAGCGGGUGAAAAGCCCGCUCGCCGGAAGACCAAGGGUUCCUGUCCAACGUUAAUCGGGGCAGGGUGAGUCGACCCCUAAGGCGAGGCCGAAAGGCGUAGUCGAUGGGAAACGGGUUAAUAUUCCCGUACUUGGUGUUACUGCGAAGGGGGGACGGAGAAGGCUAUGUUGGCCGGGCGACGGUUGUCCCGGUUUAAGCGUGUAGGUGUGUGUUCCAGGUAAAUCCGGUUCACUUUAACACUGAGGCGUGAUGACGAGGCACUACGGUGCUGAAGCAACAAAUGCCCUGCUUCCAGGAAAAGCCUCUAAGCAUCAGGUAACAUCAAAUCGUACCCCAAACCGACACAGGUGGUCAGGUAGAGAAUACCAAGGCGCUUGAGAGAACUCGGGUGAAGGAACUAGGCAAAAUGGUGCCGUAACUUCGGGAGAAGGCACGCUGACACGUAGGUGAAGUGAUUUACUCAUGGAGCUGAAGUCAGUCGAAGAUACCAGCUGGCUGCAACUGUUUAUUAAAAACACAGCACUGUGCAAACACGAAAGUGGACGUAUACGGUGUGACGCCUGCCCGGUGCCGGAAGGUUAAUUGAUGGGGUCAGCGCAAGCGAAGCUCCUGAUCGAAGCCCCGGUAAACGGCGGCCGUAACUAUAACGGUCCUAAGGUAGCGAAAUUCCUUGUCGGGUAAGUUCCGACCUGCACGAAUGGCGUAAUGAUGGCCAGGCUGUCUCCACCCGAGACUCAGUGAAAUUGAACUCGCUGUGAAGAUGCAGUGUACCCGCGGCAAGACGGAAAGACCCCGUGAACCUUUACUAUAGCUUGACACUGAACAUUGAGCCUUGAUGUGUAGGAUAGGUGGGAGGCUUUGAAGUGUGGACGCCAGUCUGCAUGGAGCCGGCCUUGAAAUACCACCCUUUAAUGUUUGAUGUUCUAACGUGGACCCGUGAUCCGGGUUGCGGACAGUGUCUGGUGGGUAGUUUGACUGGGGCGGUCUCCUCCUAAAGAGUAACGGAGGAGCACGAAGGUUGGCUAAUCCUGGUCGGACAUCAGGAGGUUAGUGCAAUGGCAUAAGCCAGCUUGACUGCGAGCGUGACGGCGCGAGCAGGUGCGAAAGCAGGUCAUAGUGAUCCGGUGGUUCUGAAUGGAAGGGCCAUCGCUCAACGGAUAAAAGGUACUCCGGGGAUAACAGGCUGAUACCGCCCAAGAGUUCAUAUCGACGGCGGUGUUUGGCACCUCGAUGUCGGCUCAUCACAUCCUGGGGCUGAAGUAGGUCCCAAGGGUAUGGCUGUUCGCCAUUUAAAGUGGUACGCGAGCUGGGUUUAGAACGUCGUGAGACAGUUCGGUCCCUAUCUGCCGUGGGCGCUGGAGAACUGAGGGGGGCUGCUCCUAGUACGAGAGGACCGGAGUGGACGCAUCACUGGUGUUCGGGUUGUCAUGCCAAUGGCACUGCCCGGUAGCUAAAUGCGGAAGAGAUAAGUGCUGAAAGCAUCUAAGCACGAAACUUGCCCCGAGAUGAGUUCUCCCUGAGACUUAGAGUCUCCUGAAGGAACGUUGAAGACGACGACGUUGAUAGGCCGGGUGUGUAAGCGCAGCGAUGCGUUGAGCUAACCGGUACUAAUGAACCGUGAGGCUUAACCUUACAACGCCGAAG